CCUACGGGUGGCUGCAGUGGGGAAUAUUGGACAAUGGGCGCAAGCCUGAUCCAGCAAUACCGCGUGUGUGAAGAAGGCCUUAGGGUUGUAAAGCACUUUCAAUGGGGAGGAAAACCUACCGGUCAAUACCCGGUAGCUUGACAUUACCUGUAGAAGAAGCACCGGCUAACUCCGUGCCAGCAGCCGCGGUAAUACGGAGGGUGCGUGCGUUAAUCAGAAUUAGUGUGGGCGAAGCGUUAAGUCAGAGUUCAAAGCCCCGGGCUUAACCUGGGAACUGCAUUUGAAACUGGCGGACUAGAGUUGAGUAGAGGGGAGUGGAAUUUCAGGUGUAGCGGUGAAAUGCGUAGAUAUCUGAAGGAACACCAGUGGCGAAGGCGACUCCCUGGACUCAAACUGACGCUGAGGUACGAAAGCGUGGGUAGCAAACAGGAUUAGAUACCCCUGUAGUC
This 449-nucleotide ribosomal RNA is filed under the name uncultured bacterium. RNAcentral's name for it is "partial 16S ribosomal RNA". It matches the Rfam family "Bacterial small subunit ribosomal RNA", at positions 338 to 795 of the family's 1533-position model. The record is from RNAcentral.